GAAAACGUUGUUGCAGAUGCACUCUCACGGCUACCUGAGCAAGCUAAGGUUUCAGCCAUCUCCCUUCCUACCACUAGUCUCCUCGUGGACAUUAGGGAAGAAUGGAAGAAGGAUCCAGAGAUCAGCAACAUUACAAAAAAAAUUGGAGGAGGAUCCAAGUGCAAUAGCCCACUACACUUGGGAUUCGAGGGAUCUACGCUACAAAGGUCGUAUUGUGCUUAUACGUGACUCCCC
This 234-nucleotide long non-coding RNA is filed under the name Musa acuminata (dwarf banana). RNAcentral describes it as "long non-coding RNA (MACU_LNC011348)". The record is from RNAcentral. Lineage: Eukaryota; Viridiplantae; Streptophyta; Magnoliopsida; Zingiberales; Musaceae.